Molecule: ribosomal RNA, 598 nt
Filed under: Muscinupta laevis
Lineage: Eukaryota; Fungi; Basidiomycota; Agaricomycetes; Hymenochaetales
Description: partial 28S ribosomal RNA
Rfam family: Eukaryotic large subunit ribosomal RNA
Source: RNAcentral
CUGACCUCAAAUCAGGUAGGACUACCCGCUGAACUUAAGCAUAUCAAUAAGCGGAGGAAAAGAAACUAACAAGGAUUCCCCUAGUAACUGCGAGUGAAGCGGGAAAAGCUCAAAUUUAAAAUCUGGCGGUUUCACCGUCCGAGUUGUAAUCUGGAGAAGCGUUUUCCGUGUCGGACCGUGUACAAGUCUCUUGGAACAGAGCGUCAUAGAGGGUGAGAAUCCCGUCUUUGACACGGACUGCCGAUGCUUUGUGAUACGCUCUCAAAGAGUCGAGUUGUUUGGGAAUGCAGCUCAAAAUGGGUGGUAAAUUCCAUCUAAAGCUAAAUAUUGGCGAGAGACCGAUAGCGAACAAGUACCGUGAGGGAAAGAUGAAAAGCACUUUGGAAAGAGAGUUAAACAGUACGUGAAAUUGUUGAAAGGGAAACGCUUGAAGUCAGUCGCGUUGUCCGGGACUCAGCCUUGCUUCUGCUUGGUGUACUUCCUGGUUGACGGGCCAACAUCGAUUUUGGUCGGCAGAUAAAGGUGGAGGGAAUGUGGCACUUUCGGGUGUGUUAUAGCCCUCUGUCGGAUGUGUCGACUGGGAUCGAGGAUCGCAGCA